GUUGGUAGCUGUGGCACAGUGGGCCCUGCAGACCUCCACAGUCUUUGAUUCUCCUAAAAUCACUGCAUGCCAGAUGUGUUUGAGAGAAGCAAAGGAGCUGUGUCACUCGGCAAUCUGAAGCUGAUGCCUCAGAAUAUUGAUGCUACAGCAAGCAAGCUAGAUUUUUCUUAUGGACUGAUGACAGACAUCACUGCAGCUAUGACAAAUUGGGGAAACCUACCUGGUGCGUUUAAUUAACAUCCAAGCUGGAAUUAAGGUGAGAAAGCGUUACAGCAACUUGAAAUGUUAUAUUUCUUUAAAAAACAAAACAAAAAAACCCACCU
RNAcentral lists this long non-coding RNA (323 nucleotides) under Struthio camelus australis. Its description in RNAcentral is "lncRNA (ENSSCUG00000018294.1)". The record is from RNAcentral. Lineage: Eukaryota; Metazoa; Chordata; Aves; Struthioniformes; Struthionidae.